This is a long non-coding RNA of Homarus americanus (American lobster), 387 nucleotides long. RefSeq lists it as uncharacterized. The record is from RefSeq and is a predicted model, not a curated record. NCBI's taxonomy places the organism in Eukaryota, Metazoa, Arthropoda, Malacostraca, Decapoda, Nephropidae. The transcript is spliced from 3 exons.
UAUGAGCCGCGACGGUCAGUUUCAUUACAGCUGUUGCCAUGUAAACAAGUGUCACAGUGAAUUGUGUCGUCGUUGGUGAGGAAUAUAAAAUCAAGAGGCAGGAUGGUUCCUGGCCCAAGACAUGACGGGUGAUGCCAAGGCUUCCUCUACCACCAGGGCAAUCGCCAACAGAGACCACACAUGGGGCCGCCCUUUCUCUACGCUACAGUGUGAAGUAACUCAGAGAUGGAGCAGAGUGAUGAGAAUGACGGUAAACCUUGCUCACCUGCUUUGACUCAAGGACUCUCCAACACCUGGUAGUAUAUAAACAGGUGUUGUGUCUCAGCUUUACCUCCUUCAUGCUUGAUUAUCUCGCUGCAUUGGCAAACAUUUUCUACUUUUUUUUUU